Molecule: ribosomal RNA, 423 nt
Filed under: uncultured bacterium
Lineage: Bacteria
Description: partial 16S ribosomal RNA
Rfam family: Bacterial small subunit ribosomal RNA
Source: RNAcentral
UAUCUUGGACAAUGGGGGAAACCCUGACCCAGCCAUCCCGUGAGUAUGAUGAGGGNCUNNGGGUUNUNAAUUACUUUUCGCAGNNNNNAAAAGGCAUCCCCUCAUACGGGAUGCAACUGACGACAUCUGCAGAACAAGCACUGGCUAACUACCGUCCAGCAGCCGCGGUAAUACGUAGGGUUCAAGCGUUAAUCGGAAUUACUGGGCGUAAAGCGUGUGUAGGCGGUUCGGAAAGAAAGAUGUGAAAUCCCAGGGCUCAACCUUGGAACUGCAUUUUUAACUGCCGAGCUAGAGUAUGUCAGAGGGGGGUAGAAUUCCACGUGUAGCAGUGAAAUGCGUAGAUAUGUGGAGGAAUACCGAUGGCGAAGGCAGCCCCCUGGGAUAAUACUGACGCUCAGACACGAAAGCGUGGGGAGCAAACAG